Culex quinquefasciatus (southern house mosquito) is the source of this 578-nucleotide long non-coding RNA. RefSeq lists it as uncharacterized. Lineage: Eukaryota; Metazoa; Arthropoda; Insecta; Diptera; Culicidae. The transcript has 2 exons. The record is from RefSeq and is a predicted model, not a curated record.
UGCAACAUUGUGGUGAAAAGUGACGACGACGACCAGAGAUGGAAAGCUGCAUGAUUUUCCUGUCUGAAAUUUUUGAGCCAGCCUGCAAGUCUGAGGACAAUCAGUCUGCUGGUGAUUCUCAACAGCUGAACAUGGUAUCAGCUUUUCGUUUGUCUCGGUGGAUUAUCGACACCGGAAAAAUCUGCGUUCUUUUUCCAUUUCUGGGGUUAGAUUUAUGCGAGCAACUGCCAUGGAACCAGAAAUUUCAGGGCAAUCACAUGAAGCCGGAGGUGAGCAAGGUUUAACAUCGUCAAAGGAGCAAAACAGGCUGCGAAGAAGGCGCUGGCCGCGAACGGAAGAAGGAAAAGCAGCCAAUCUGUCCCACAAGCCGCAAGUGGAGAGUCGGAAACGAAGACCAGUCGCGUGUGUGAAAAAAACUUGGUGAUAUUGGACAAUUUAAUGCAAAGAAAAUAUUAUGUAUAUUGUGCCAAGAGUGUUUGAUGUGUUGUGACGUAAUUAACAAUGUGUAAUGUGUGUUAGUAUCAGUGAAAAUAGUCAAAUUUUGAAAAUAAAAUGUGAAAAUAACAAGCCCUUUUUGA